RNAcentral lists this ribosomal RNA (498 nucleotides) under uncultured bacterium. RNAcentral describes it as "partial 16S ribosomal RNA". It matches the Rfam family "Bacterial small subunit ribosomal RNA", at positions 29 to 523 of the family's 1533-position model. The record is from RNAcentral.
AUUGAACGCUGGCGGCAUGCUUUACACAUGCAAGUCGAACGGUAACAGGCCGCAAGGUGCUGACGAGUGGCGAACGGGUGAGUAAUGCAUCGGAACGUGCCCAGUCGUGGGGGAUAACGCAGCGAAAGCUGUGCUAAUACCGCAUACGAUCUAUGGAUGAAAGCGGGGGACCGUAAGGCCUCGCGCGAUUGGAGCGGCCGAUGUCAGAUUAGCUAGUUGGUGGGGUAAAGGCCCACCAAGGCGACGAUCUGUAGCUGGACUGAGAGGACGACCAGCCACGCUGGGACUGAGACACGGCCCAGACUCCUACGGGAGGCCGCAGUGGGGAAUUUUGGACAAUGGGCGCAAGCCUGAUCCAGCAAUGCCGCGUGCAGGAAGAAGGCCUUCGGGUUGUAAACUGCUUUUGUACGGAACGAAACGGCCUGGGUUAAUACCCUGGGCUAAUGACGGUACCGUAAGAAUAAGCACCGGCUAACUACGUGCCAGCCGCCGCCGUAA